Molecule: ribosomal RNA, 433 nt
Filed under: uncultured bacterium
Lineage: Bacteria
Description: partial 16S ribosomal RNA
Rfam family: Bacterial small subunit ribosomal RNA
Source: RNAcentral
AACGAACGCUGGCGGCAUGCCUAACACAUGCAAGUCGAACGAGACCUUCGGGUCUAGUGGCGCACGGGUGCGUAACGCGUGGGAACCUGCCCUUAGGUUCGGAAUAACUCCCCGAAAGGGGUGCUAAUACCGGAUAAUGUCUUCGGACCAAAGAUUUAUCGCCUUUGGAUGGGCCCGCGUUGGAUUAGCUAGUUGGUAGGGUAAAAGCCUACCAAGGCGACGAUCCAUAGCUGGUCUGAGAGGAUGAUAAGCCACACUGGGACUGAGACACGGCCCAGACUCCUACGGGAGGCAGCAGUGGUGAAUAUUGGACAAUGAGCGAUAAUCUGAUCCAGCAACGUCGCGUGAGUGAUGAAGGCCUUAGGGUUGUAAAGCUCUUUUACCCGGGAUGAUAAUGACAGUACCGGGAGAAUAAGCACCGGCUAACUACGUG